ACGCUGGCGGCGUGCUUAACACAUGCAAGUCGAACGAUGAAGCCUGGCUUGCUAGGUGGAUUAGUGGCGAACGGGUGAGUAAUACGUGAGUAACCUACCUUUAACUCUGGGAUAAGCCUGGGAAACUGGGUCUAAUACCGGAUACGACCAAUCUCCGCAUGGGGUGUUGGUGGAAAGCGUUAUGUAGUGGUUAUAGAUGGGCUCACGGCCUAUCAGCUUGUUGGUGAGGUAACGGCUCAUCAAGGCGACGACGGGUAGCCGGCCUGAGAGGGUGACCGGCCACACUGGGACUGAGACACGGCCCAGACUCCUACGGGAGGCAGCAGUGGGGAAUAUUGCACAAUGGGCGCAAGCCUGAUGCAGCGACGCCGCGUGAGGGAUGACGGCCUUCGGGUUGUAAACCUCUGUUAGCAGGGAAGAAGAGAGAUUGACGGUACCUGCAGAGAAAGCGCCGGCUAACUACGUGCCAGCAGCCGCGGUAAUACGUAGGGCGCGAGCGUUGUCCGGAAUUAUUGGGCGUAAAGAGCUUGUAGGCGGUUUGUCGCGUCUGCUGUGAAAGGCCGGAGCUUAACUCCGUGUAUUGCAGUGGGUACGGGCAGACUAGAGUGCAGUAGGGGAGACUGGAAUUCCUGGUGUAGCGGUGGAAUGCGCAGAUAUCAGGAGGAACACCGAUGGCGAAGGCAGGUCUCUGGGCUGUAACUGACGCUGAGAAGCGAAAGCAUGGGGAGCGAACAGGAUUAGAUACCCUGGUAGUCCAUGCCGUAAACGUUGGGCACUAGGUGUGGGGGACAUUCCACGUUUUCCGCGCCGUAGCUAACGCAUUAAGUGCCCCGCCUGGGGAGUACGGCCGCAAGGCUAAAACUCAAAGAAAUUGACGGGGGCCCGCACAAGCGGCGGAGCAUGCGGAUUA
RNAcentral lists this ribosomal RNA (910 nucleotides) under uncultured bacterium. RNAcentral describes it as "bacterial SSU rRNA". It matches the Rfam family "Bacterial small subunit ribosomal RNA", at positions 33 to 948 of the family's 1533-position model. The record is from RNAcentral.